AACUAAUCUGAUGGGGACGUGGAGAACCUUUGUAUCUAGCUCAGGGAUUGUAAACGCACCAAUCAGCGCCCUGACGAAACAGGCCACUCGGCUCUACCAAUCAGCAGGAUGUGGGUGGGGCCAGAUAAGAGAAUAAAAGCAGGCUGCCUGAGCCAGCAUUGGCAACCAGCUCGGGUCCCCUUCCACACCGUGGAAGCUUUGUUCUUUCACUCUUUGCAAUAAAUCUUGCUACUGCUCACUCUUCGGGUCCAGGCUGCUUUUAUGAGCUGUAACACUCACCGCGAAGAUCUGCAGCUUCACUCCUGAGCCAGCGAGACCACGAACCCACCAGAAGGAAGAAACUCCAAACACAUCUGAACAUCAGAAGGGACAGACUCCAGACGUGCCACCUUAAGAGCUGUAACACCGCGAGGGUCCGCAGCUUCAUUGUUGAAGCCCUCCGAACCCUGAAGAGAUCAUCAUAUAUAUGUGCUGCCGAAGCGAGCACUCCUGAAGAGAUUAACUAAGAGUCUAGCACCUUUUAAGUUAGAAGAGACUGCCCACAUAGGGAGAGUGGCACAGAGGAGAGUAACAUCAAUCAACAGCGAAUAUGCACUUGAUCGCGGUCUAAUCAGCACCAGGCACCUCAGGGCAGCAGUAUUGUCAGACGCAUUGGAACCAGAGGGACUCCAUCUUGAAUAAGGUCUGGGUAAAAUGAGGCUAACACCUACUGGGCUGCAUUCCCAGGAGGUUAAGCAUUCUUAGUCACAGGACAAGAUAGGUCAGCAGGACAAGAUAGAGGUCAUAAAGACCCUGCUGAUAAAACAAUGCCAUAAAGAAGGCAGCCAAAACCUGCCAAAACCAAGGUGGUGAUGAAAGUGACCUCUAGUUGUCCUCACUGCUCACUAUACGCUAAUUAUAAUGCAUUAGCAUACUCAAAGACACUCCCAGCAGCACCACGACAGUUUACAAACGCCAUGGCAACAUUAGGAAGUUACCCUAUAUGGUCUAAAAGGGGAGGAACCCUCAGUUAGGGUAAAUCCCUGCCCUUUUCCUGGAAAACUCAUGAAUGAUCCACCCCUUGUUUAACAUAUAAUCAAGAAAUAACUAUACGUGUACUCAGUUGAACAUCCCGUGCCACUGCUCUGCCUAUGGAGUAGCCAUUCUUUUAUUCUUUUAC
Molecule: long non-coding RNA, 1159 nt
Filed under: Homo sapiens (human)
Lineage: Eukaryota; Metazoa; Chordata; Mammalia; Primates; Hominidae
Description: HSALNT0367570
Source: RNAcentral